RNAcentral lists this ribosomal RNA (230 nucleotides) under uncultured bacterium. Its description in RNAcentral is "partial 16S ribosomal RNA". It matches the Rfam family "Bacterial small subunit ribosomal RNA", at positions 568 to 796 of the family's 1533-position model. The record is from RNAcentral.
CUCGUAGGCGGCUUGGCAAGUCGAUCGUGAAAGCCCGGGGCUUAACCCCGGGACGCCGGUCGAUACUGCCAUGGCUUGGGUCCGGUAGAGGAGAAUGGAAUUCCCGGUGUAGCGGUGAAAUGCGCAGAUAUCGGGAGGAACACCAGUAGCGAAGGCGGUUCUCUGGGUCGGUACCGACGCUGAGGAGCGAAAGCGUGGGGAGCAAACAGGAUUAGAUACCCUGGUAGUCC